This 253-nucleotide ribosomal RNA is filed under the name uncultured bacterium. Its description in RNAcentral is "partial 16S ribosomal RNA". It matches the Rfam family "Bacterial small subunit ribosomal RNA", at positions 524 to 776 of the family's 1533-position model. The record is from RNAcentral.
UACGAAGGGGGCUAGCGUUGUUCGGAAUCACUGGGCGUAAAGGGCGCGUAGGCGGCCGAUCAAGUCGGGGGUGAAAGCCUGUGGCUCAACCACAGAAUUGCCUUCGAUACUGUUUGGCUUGAGACCGGAAGAGGUUAGUGGAACUGCGAGUGUAGAGGUGAAAUUCGUAGAUAUUCGCAAGAACACCAGUGGCGAAGGCGGCUGACUGGUCCGGUUCUGACGCUGAGGCGCGAAAGCCAGGGGAGCAAACGGG